This 550-nucleotide ribosomal RNA is filed under the name uncultured crenarchaeote. RNAcentral's name for it is "bacterial SSU rRNA". It matches the Rfam family "Archaeal small subunit ribosomal RNA", at positions 83 to 634 of the family's 1478-position model. Lineage: Archaea; Thermoproteati; Thermoproteota. The record is from RNAcentral.
AUACGGCUCAGUAACGCGUACUCCACUUAACCUAUGGACGGGAAUAACCUCGGGAAACUGAGAAUCAUGCCCGAUAGAACAUUAUGCCUGGAAUGGUUUAUGUUCCAAAUGAUUUAUCGCCGUAGGAUGGGACUGCGGCCUAUCAGUUUGUUGGUGAGGUAAUGGCCCACCAAGACUAUUACAGGUACGGGCUCUGAGAGGAGUAGCCCGGAGAUGGGUACUGAGACACGGACCCAGGCCCUAUGGGGCGCAGCAGGCGAGAAAACUUUGCAAUGUGCGAAAGCACGACAAGGUUAAUCCGAGUGGUUUCUGCUAAAGAAACCUUUUGUCAGUCCUAGAAACACUGAUGAAUAAGGGGUGGGCAAGUUCUGGUGUCAGCCGCCGCGGUAAAACCAGCACCUCAAGUGGUCAGGAUGAUUAUUGGGCCUAAAGCAUCCGUAGCCGGCUCUGUAAGUUUUCGGUUAAAUCUGUACGCUCAACGUACAGGCUGCCGGGAAUACUGCAGAGCUAGGGAGUGGGAGAGGUAGACGGUACUCGGGAGGAAGGGGUA